CGAACGAGCACGAUUUCCUUCGGGAUGAUGUGCUGAGUGGCGGACGGGUGAGUAACGCGUGGGUACCUGCCUUGUACAGGGGGAUAACAGUUGGAAACGGCUGCUAAUACCGCAUAAGAUCGCAUGAUAAAAACUCCGGUGGUAUAAGAUGGACCCGCGUUGGAUUAGCUAGUUGGUGAGGUAACGGCCCACCAAGGCGACGAUCCAUAGCCGACCUGAGAGGGUGACCGGCCACAUUGGGACUGAGACACGGCCCAAACUCCUACGGGAGGCAGCAGUGGGGAAUAUUGCACAAUGGGCGAAAGCCUGAUGCAGCGACGCCGCGUGAGUGAAGAAGUAUUUCGGUAUGUAAAGCUCUAUCAGCAGGGAAGAUAAUGACGGUACCUGACUAAGAAGCACCGGCUAAAUACGUGCCAGCAGCCGCGGUAAUACGUAUGGUGCAAGCGUUAUCC
Molecule: ribosomal RNA, 452 nt
Filed under: uncultured bacterium
Lineage: Bacteria
Description: bacterial SSU rRNA
Rfam family: Bacterial small subunit ribosomal RNA
Source: RNAcentral